RNAcentral lists this ribosomal RNA (289 nucleotides) under uncultured bacterium. RNAcentral describes it as "partial 16S ribosomal RNA". It matches the Rfam family "Bacterial small subunit ribosomal RNA", at positions 775 to 1067 of the family's 1533-position model. The record is from RNAcentral.
GGAUUAGAUACCCUGGUAGUCCACGCCCUAAACGAUGAAUACUCGAUGUUGGCGAUAUACAGUCAGCGUCUAAGGGAAACCGUUAAGUAUUCCACCUGGGGAGUACGUCCGCAAGGAUGAAACUCAAAGAAAUUGGCGGGGGUCCGCACAAGCGGUGGAUUAUGUGGUUUAAUUCGAUGAUACGCGAGGAACCUUACCAGGGCUAGAAUGUAAUUGGAAUAUAGAGGAAACUUUAUAGCUAGCAAUAGCCGGUUACAAGGUGCUGCAUGGUUGUCGUCAGCUCGUGUUG